GAGUUUGAUCCUGGCUCGGGAUGAACGCUAGCUACAGGCUUAACACAUGCAAGUCGAACGAAGCACUUUGGACAGAUUCUUCGGAUGAAGUCCUCAGUGACUGAGUGGCGGACGGGUGAGUAACGCGUGGGUAACCUGCCUCAUACAGGGGGAUAACAGUUAGAAAUGGCUGCUAAUACCGCAUAAGCGCACGGUACUGCAUGGUACAGUGUGAAAAACUCCGGUGGUAUGAGAUGGACCCCGCGU
Molecule: ribosomal RNA, 246 nt
Filed under: uncultured bacterium
Lineage: Bacteria
Description: partial 16S ribosomal RNA
Rfam family: Bacterial small subunit ribosomal RNA
Source: RNAcentral